CCCUUAGACGUUCUGGACCGCACGCGCGCUACACUGACAAAGGCAACGAGCUACUCUUCACCGAAAGGUGUGGGUAAUCUUUUGAAACUUUGUCGUGCUGGGGAUAGAUCCUUGCAAUUUUUGAUCUUAAACGAGGAAUUCCUAGUAAGCGCAAGUCAUCAACUUGCGUUGAUUACGUCCCUGCCCUUUGUACACACCGCCCGUCGCUACUACCGAUUGAAUGGUUUAGUGAGGCCUUCGGAUCCGCGACUCGUUUGUGGAGAAGUUGGACAAACUCAGUCAUUUAGAGGAAGUAAAAGUCGUAACA
RNAcentral lists this ribosomal RNA (307 nucleotides) under uncultured eukaryote. RNAcentral describes it as "partial 18S ribosomal RNA". It matches the Rfam family "Eukaryotic small subunit ribosomal RNA", at positions 1470 to 1796 of the family's 1831-position model. The record is from RNAcentral.